GUGAGACAGGUGCUGCAUGGCUGUCGUCAGCUCGUGUUGUGAAAUGUUGGGUUAAGUCCCGCAACGAGCGCAACCCUUAUCCUUUGUUGCCAGCGGUCCGGCCGGGAACUCAAAGGAGACUGCCAGUGAUAAACUGGAGGAAGGUGGGGAUGACGUCAAGUCAUCAUGGCCCUUACGACCAGGGCUACACACGUGCUACAAUGGCGCAUACAAAGAGAAGCGACCU
Molecule: ribosomal RNA, 226 nt
Filed under: Escherichia coli
Lineage: Bacteria; Pseudomonadati; Pseudomonadota; Gammaproteobacteria; Enterobacterales; Enterobacteriaceae
Also listed under: 8 other names
Description: partial 16S ribosomal RNA
Rfam family: Bacterial small subunit ribosomal RNA
Source: RNAcentral